CUUUCCCGCCUUGACGGUGACGCAAAACUGGAAUCCUCGUCCCAACUGUGGGCUUCUUUCGUUUUUACAGCAUCUGCGAGCAAUGAGUGAUCCAACCAAGAUUUAUGUAGAAGGAUGCUAAUUGCAACAAUAAGUGUUACAUUUAAAAGAGAAAAACUGGAAACAACUCUAGGAUCCAACAAUGGAGAAAAUGGUUAAAUAAUGCAUUAUUCCAGUUGGAGAUAUAAAGCAGAGAACCAUCAUUCUCAAAACUGUUCUGAGAGUCAGCAUGUCACCUCUUUCACUCCUCAAGCCUUCAGAAUUCCAAUGCUAAACAUUUCUCUGGCAUCUAAGGAACAAAACGUUCAGGAUAGAAAGGCUGUGAUACUACCCUGCUAGUAUCAAUCCACAUGCACCAGGUCCUGCUGAAGUGUUAAAUAGGUUGAUACAGGGAUGGAAUAAAACAAUAAAGUGUCUGAGAGAACUUCUGAGGAAAUAAUACUGUGCACCGCUUCUAGGGAAGGUGGCCCCUAGCUCUGCAUGACUAACAGCAGCCAUCACAGACACCAUGGCACAAGCAGCCCAAAUACUCAGGGAGACCCCACAUUGAGUGAGUUGUAUUUUAAUGCCCCUUCAGGAGAAACAAAUAUGCCUGUACCUAUUUUGAUACUGAAUAACAAAUUUGUUCCAUGGAAAUGUCCUAUUACUCAUUGA
This 693-nucleotide long non-coding RNA is filed under the name Homo sapiens (human). RNAcentral's name for it is "HSALNT0348115". The record is from RNAcentral. Lineage: Eukaryota; Metazoa; Chordata; Mammalia; Primates; Hominidae.